GUCUUUGGCCAUACCACCCUAAAUGUGUUCAAUCUUGUCUGGUCUCAGAAGCUAAGCAGGGUCUGGCCUGAUUAGUACUUGGAUGGGAGACAAAUCUUCAAAAGAGACUUUUCAGAGACAAACAGU
RNAcentral lists this ribosomal RNA (126 nucleotides) under Castor canadensis (American beaver). Lineage: Eukaryota; Metazoa; Chordata; Mammalia; Rodentia; Castoridae. The record is from RNAcentral.